This 473-nucleotide long non-coding RNA is filed under the name Neogale vison (American mink). RNAcentral's name for it is "Neovison vison (American mink) lncRNA (ENSNVIG00000008890.1)". The record is from RNAcentral. Lineage: Eukaryota; Metazoa; Chordata; Mammalia; Carnivora; Mustelidae.
GAAAUUUCAUGUUUGUUUACUUAACAGGGCAUUACUAAUCUAGAGGAAGCAAGUGGGUGAAGAACCACAUUUGCAAAGAGGACAAGAGAUUAAUGAAAAGAAGUGGAGAAAAGAAUUUGCAGUUACACAAGUUCCAGCUCUGUUCCAGAAAGUGAUAAAAAGGAGAAGGAAAAGGUCCGGAGUUCUUUGAUAGACUUCUGAGGAAGGCAGCGAAAGGAUGAAAGAUUACCCUCCCAGAAAAUACCCUGACUCCAUUUAUACUGUGGGGAUUGGCCCUGACCCAGUCCAUUGGGGCUGCCAUUAACAUUUGCAACCUGAGGCCAGUGCUGGCCAGGAAGCAGAUCUGAGAAAUACGAAGAAAUGAGUCCCUAAAGUAAACAUAAUUAACCUGUGGAACAAGGUGUACCUGAAGCCAGUUGUCCCUGGACUUCUUAGUUAUGUAAAUAAAUAAAUUAUCCUUUGUGCUUAAACCA